Molecule: ribosomal RNA, 519 nt
Filed under: uncultured eukaryote
Lineage: Eukaryota
Description: bacterial SSU rRNA
Rfam family: Eukaryotic small subunit ribosomal RNA
Source: RNAcentral
AGGGCACCACCAGGGGUGGAGCCUGCGGCUUAAUUUGACUCACCACGGCAAAACUCACCCGGCCCGGACACCGUAAGGAUUGACAGACUGAGAGCUCUUUCGUGGGUCGGUGGGUGGUGGUGCAUGGCCGUUCUUAGUUGGUGGAGCGAUUUGGCUGGAUAAUUCCGAUAACGAACGAGACUCUGGCCUAUUAAAUAGACAGUAUAUCUAGCAAAAGAGUGCCGCGCUUCUUAGAGCGAGCACCGGCGACUAGCCGGGUGGAGUGGGGCAAUAGCAGUGCUGUGAUGCCCGUAGGCGUGCGGUGCUGCAAACGCGCUACGCUGAAAGAAUCGGGAUGCGACGCCACCUCGUUCGGACGAACCAGCGCGAGAGGAGUACUUUCUUGCAUGCUUUAAUAAACUUUUUGGGCCCACACGCACGACACAUAUGUAGAUCUCUCUCUACUAUAUAUUUUGUUGGCGAAAAAAACCGCGAGAAAAUCAUGCGCCCCCCGUGAGUUCUCUCUAUAUAUCAUCACCG